RNAcentral lists this ribosomal RNA (454 nucleotides) under uncultured bacterium. RNAcentral's name for it is "bacterial SSU rRNA". It matches the Rfam family "Bacterial small subunit ribosomal RNA", at positions 29 to 526 of the family's 1533-position model. The record is from RNAcentral.
AGCGAACGCUGGCGGCAGGCCUAACACAUGCAAGUCGAGCGCCCGUAGCAAUACGGGAGCGGCAGACGGGUGAGUAACACGUGGGAACGUACCCUUCGGUUCGGAAUAACCCAGGGAAACUUGGAUUAAUACCGGAUACGUCCGUAAGGAGAAAGAUUUAUCGCCGAAGGAUCGGCCCGCGUCCGAUUAGCUUGUUGGUGGGGUAAUGGCCCACCAAGGCUACGAUCGGUAGCUGGUCUGAGAGGAUGAUCAGCCACACUGGGACUGAGACACGGCCCAGACUCCUACGGGAGGCAGCAGUGGGGAAUAUUGGACAAUGGGCGCAAGCCUGAUCCAGCCAUGCCGCGUGAGUGAUGAAGGCCCUAGGGUUGUAAAGCUCUUUCGGCGGGGAAGAUAAUGACGGUACCCGCAGAAGAAGCCCCGGCUAACUUCGUGCCAGCCGCCGCGGUAAAAC